UACGUAGGGAGCAAGCGUUGUCCGGAAUCAUUGGGCGUAAAGAGCGCGUAGGUGGCUUUAUAAGUCCGUUGUGAAAGUCAAAGGCUCAACCUUUGAAAGCCGAUGGAUACUGUGAAGCUAGAGUACGGAAGAGGCGAGUGGAAUUCCUGGUGUAGCGGUGGAAUGCGCAGAUAUCAGGAGGAACACCGGUGGCGAAGGCGGGUCUCUGGGCAACAACUGACGCUGAGGAGCGAAAGCGUGGGGAGCGAACAGG
Molecule: ribosomal RNA, 253 nt
Filed under: uncultured bacterium
Lineage: Bacteria
Description: partial 16S ribosomal RNA
Rfam family: Bacterial small subunit ribosomal RNA
Source: RNAcentral